GAGGACUCUGCAGGACGCUGGCCAGGAGGUCCUCCCGACUUCAGGCUGGCCCUCCUCCGAAGUUGAGCAGUUAUUGGGUUUCCAAGAGAGUUAGGCCCUUCAGAAACCCUUCAAAGAGUGUACCUUCUUGGAUGCGGACUCAGGGCCCCGGCUCCGGAAGAUGUAUUCGGCCGCACUAACCGCCGCCUCGCGGAGGACGUUCGCUGCCCCGCAACUGCGACCAGCCAAGGGCGCUCCCCAGCCCUGCGAUCUACCCUGGAUUCCCUCGUUACCGGUGGUGCUCCCUUAGGGGGGAGGCUUCCGCAUCGCUUCCUUUCUGCGCCUUCAUGGGAAAUGAGAGCAAAGUGAUUCUUAAAGGGAAGAGGAAAGCGCCUCCAUGCUGGCUGGAACUCUAGUCAUCAUGGACCAUGUGAACAAGGUUAACACUCUAGAAAUGGCAAACUAACAGGAUAGAAGGAACUGAGCCCCUGGCAAUUUGGUGGCACAGAGCUUGGGCUUUAAUGUGAGAGAUAAACUUUAAUCUGUAUAAACCACUAUUACACAGAGUUUCUGUUUUAGAGAUAGCUACACUUCUCUUGUAACAAGUUGGCUGCUUUUGGUCCAGUGCGUGAGGGCUGAGAGGAGAGAGGGCAUGUGAUAGAGAACACAGCCCUACCAGCUCAAAUAACAGCUGGAAGGAGCCCUCCGCCACCCCCACCCCUCCAUCCCUGUCCCCUCCAUCAGCAAGAAAUAUAGAGUGAGCAGUUUAUUUCAAAACUGUUGUGUAUGCAAGGCACCACUAGUUGACUCAUCUGGAGCCCUUGGGAAUACUUCCCCUCCUUUUGUUAACCAGCCAUAUCACAGAAAUCCCCCUUCUUUUGUUACCCAGUCAAUGGUCAAUUCUCAGUUUUCCUCUCCCUUUACCCACACAGCACUUGAUAAAACUCACCACACCCUCUUCCUGGAAAAACUCUCUGGUUUUCCUCUUUGGCAGGUCAUUUCUUUCUCAGUCUCUAAGUAGACACUCUUCCCCAGCCUCUAAACCAGUGGUUCUCAAACUGUACCAUGAUCAGAGUCACCUGGAAGGCUUGUUAAAAACAGUGCUGACCUCAACGCUUAUUCAGGAUUCUGGAGUGGGACCUGAGACUCUGCAUUCCUCACAAGUUCCCAAGGGAUGCUGAAGCUGCUCAUUUGGAAACCCAACUGAAUGUUGGACUGUCCCAGGGCUCAGUCCUUGGGCUGCUCUUCUUUUUCUGUGAACACUUCUUAGUAAUCUUGUUCAGUCUAGAUGUUCAAAAUACCAUCCAAAUGUGAUUGACUCCCAAUUGAGAUCUCUAGCAUGGGUUUCUCCUCUGACCUUGAGCUGUCUCCUUAACUCCUUACUUGUUUAAUAAAUAUCUCCAAUAUAGGAACUUCAAAA
Long non-coding RNA from Suricata suricatta (meerkat), 1399 nucleotides. RefSeq lists it as uncharacterized. Lineage: Eukaryota; Metazoa; Chordata; Mammalia; Carnivora; Herpestidae. The record is from RefSeq and is a predicted model, not a curated record. The transcript has 2 exons.